CCUACGGGAGGCAGCAGUGAGGAAUAUUGGUCAAUGGGCGCGAGCCUGAACCAGCCAAGUAGCGUGAAGGAUGACUGCCCUACGGGUUGUAAACUUCUUUUAUAAAGGAAUAAAACGAGGCACGUGUGCCUUUUUGCAUGUACUUUAUGAAUAAGGAUCGGCUAACUCCGUGCCAGCAGCCGCGGUAAUACGGAGGAUCCGAGCGUUAUCCGGAUUUAUUGGGUUUAAAGGGUGCGCAGGCGGAAUGUCAAGUCAGCGGUAAAAUUUCGGGGCUCAACCCCGUCGUGCCGUUGAAACUGGCGUUCUUGAGUGAGCGAGAAGUAUGCGGAAUGCGUGGUGUAGCGGUGAAAUGCAUAGAUAUCACGCAGAACUCCGAUUGCGAAGGCAGCAUACCGGCGCUCAACUGACGCUCAUGCACGAAAGCGUGGGUAUCGAACAGGAUUAGAUACCCUAGUAGUC
RNAcentral lists this ribosomal RNA (459 nucleotides) under uncultured bacterium. RNAcentral's name for it is "partial 16S ribosomal RNA". It matches the Rfam family "Bacterial small subunit ribosomal RNA", at positions 338 to 795 of the family's 1533-position model. The record is from RNAcentral.